UGAGGAACAUGACCUUCGGCGGGGGAUAGCCGGCCCAACGGCCGGGUAAUACCGCGUACGAUCUUUUGGGGACAUCCCCGAAUGGUGAAAGCAGCAAUGCGCCGAUGGAGUGCCUCGCGGCCUAUCAGCUAGUUGGUGAGGUAACGGCUCACCAAGGCAACGACGGGUAGCUGGUCUGAGAGGAUGGCCAGCCACAUUGGGACUGAGACACCGGCCCAGACCUCCGUACGGGGAGCAG
RNAcentral lists this ribosomal RNA (238 nucleotides) under uncultured bacterium. RNAcentral describes it as "partial 16S ribosomal RNA". It matches the Rfam family "Bacterial small subunit ribosomal RNA", at positions 118 to 351 of the family's 1533-position model. The record is from RNAcentral.